GAAAGCCGUAUGCGAGAAAACCGCACGUACGGUUUGAUGAGGGGGCGGUGGAAACCCCACUGCUCUACUCUAU
Lutispora thermophila DSM 19022 is the source of this 73-nucleotide non-coding RNA. The record is from Rfam. NCBI's taxonomy places the organism in Bacteria, Bacillati, Bacillota, Clostridia, Lutisporales, Lutisporaceae.